UAAAACCAAUGGCAACGUUCUGACCAGUGGAGUUUGAAUGGAAGUGAUGAGCAGCGCUACCAGGCCUGGCUCAGCAAAGCCUCCGAAGUCUAAUCCUAGCAUUUUCGCUGCAUCCACUGGAUGAAUGAGGAGAACUGCAAAGACCUACAGGAGAGACAAGACAAAAGAUCUCGGGUGCCUGAGAGACUGCGUGGAGCAGAGACCAUCCACUGACCUACACUUCAAUGUCAAGCCUUGGUGAGCUGUUAGCCGAGUUGCAGUUAAUGGAUGCACUCGAGACAGAUUAAGACUGGGAAACACCUGAAGAUGGAGAGACCCUCGAGGAUAGAGAUACUUCCCUCUAACAAUGAGAUUGGAUCUCGGUCUUAAGUUCCUAAAUCUGCUUCCGCAGUAUGGGAGUGACUUUGAAAGGGAAGCUGAGGACAAGAGCAAGCUUGGCUUGAAUCUCGUGUAUGCGUGUUUAUCACAGAUGAAGAGGUCAUUUUCUCUGGUGGAGCUAUCUGACGUGCAGAAGAGACCUCAGUCACCCCUUGGCUGUAGACUGGCAGUGUUGCCUGCUAGACUGUGGGAUAAGGUCUUUGGUUUUGAUAUAUUGAAGUGAAAAGAAGAAAUAAUUUACUUAUAUCACCUAGUUUUUAGAUAUAGAGAAACCCAAGCUUAAAAGGACAAACAAGGUAACAUAUCUGACAAUGCUUAGCGCGAUGCCUGACACAUAAAAAAGGGUAAGAGGUGCUAGUUCGCCUUUUCUAUACCAAACAUGAAAGCAAAAAUGUCUUCUUUUUUUUUUGAGAUCCUAUAAUAUAAACUCAAGAACAUUGGCCUUAGAAUUAUAUUGCCUUGUGAAUAAUUUCUGCUCGGUACUCACUAGCAGUGUAAUGUCAGGUAAAUUACAUAACCUUCCUGUACCUGGUUUCCUAAAUCAAAAACGAGAAUCCAGUUUUGUAGCACUUUGGAUUAUGCUUGGCAGCAUAAAAAGAAAACCCCAAAUUAUAGUGGUUUAUUUCUUUCUUCUGUGAAAGAAUUACAGAGGGAGACCAUUCAGGGAAUGCAUAGUGUCUUUUAGUAUCAGGAACCAGGUUAUUUCUAUUCUGCGUCUUUAGCAAGGGAUUUCCUUCCUUAAAGUCACAUUAGAACCCAAGGCAGCUGCCAAAGCUCCAGUCAUUUUGCGUACAUUCCAUGCAUCGAGAACCUGAAAUCAAAUUUGGGCUGUCCUUCUAAGUACAAAGGAGAGAAUUGCUAAGGUGUGUAGGUAUCUAAUGGUAACUCUUUUUCAGGGUUUGUGGGAUAAUUAAACAAAAUGAUGUAUAUAAGAUGUCAAGGACCAUACCUGGCACAUGGCAGUUGAGCAUCUAUGUAGUACUUACUAGUGACCAAUAUUACAAAGCAAAUUGGUCACAGUGUCAAGACCUGUAUCUAAGUUCCCAGCUCUUCCCUAUUGUUCAUUCUUCAUGUAUUAAUUAUAUGUUAAUGAGUAAAUGAUGUUAGGGUACUUAGGGGCUUCCACCAGCUACUGAUGUGUGGGCUUUUAAUGGGAUGAACCUCUGCCUGGUCCUCUCUUUCAAGGCCUGGAGGUUUGCAGAUUCAGAAACUUAAUUUUGUAACAUAAUGAUAACAGAUGUGUCUCUUAGAACAGACUCACAGUAAACAAGCCUACAUAGACUUAUUUAAAGUUACUAGCAUGUUGAUUUAUUAACGUACACUGAGAAAUAUAAUUUCCAUAGGAAAGGACUCUGUAAUCUUCGGCCCAUGUAUUCAUUCCCUGUGGUCACCUAAGCAGAAACUAAAUUUUUCCCCACCUCCCAAAGAAAAUCAGAUGACCUUCAACUGGAAAGCGGUAUCCUGUAUCUAGGUCUCCUCUGUUGUGCCAUGCUGGUCAUACUGAUGACUCUCUACAUCUCCUUUCCCUUAUAUUUAUUUUCCCCCUAUCAUUUACAGUCCCCAUUUCCCCUCAAAAACCUAUUAAAUUCACUCCUAAGUCAGUUAUUGCCAAACUUUGCUGAUUAUUUGGUGCUGAAUCCUAUACCUAAAUCCAGGCUCAGGACUUCAGUCUUAAUCUUACUCAGUCUUAAUCUUAAUUUAUACUUGAUAAUGAAUUUCUAGGGACUUCCAGAUUAGUAGCUCAGGAAUCCAGAUAUUUAAAAUUUACCCUGGAUGAUUCUGCUGGACGACUCUUCCUGACCCGCCCUGCUCUAAGGAGUUACUGGUCCAGUCUACAACUUCCGACAUCCUAAUAUAGUCAGUGCACUGGCGUGAGGCUAGGAGUGGUGGGGAACGGAGAGCAAAAAGCUCUCUGAGAGGACGUUUUACCCUGCUGUCUUCUCCCAUCACCCUUUAAUCCCCACGAAAUUCUGAAGGAUCUUUUCCCUCCUGGCCUUGAGAAUUAAUGUUAUAAUGAGCUACUGUUACUCAUUUUGUCUUCAAGGAAGUGACAAUCUAUCAGUACUCACCAGAUUUGCUCAGUGGUUUAAGAUGGGGAAAAUGACUUAUAAGUUAAGUGAGGAGGAGAAGCUUUGGUGGGGCAGAGGAAGAUUGGAUAGAUUGGUUAAGGACCCAGGAAGGCAGUGUUGUAUAAGGUCAGCCUUGACUGGAGGGUAGGGUUUUGACCAGUGACAAAUGAGAAAUAGCAGUCCAGGCCAAGGGAAUACCACGCACCUGGACACAGAGGCCUGACACUGUGGCUUGGUCUCUUUGGGGCUUACACCAGAAGUCUGCUGUGCUCUUUCCCUUGACUGGACUGUAAGGUGGUUCCCCUGAGCCUGGGUGGGGUCCAUAUGGGUACCAGAUGUCGCCUGUGUUGAAAGGUUGGUUUCUAGAACUUUGAGAGCCUGGUUCAAAGCUGCAUCUUGCAAACUAGCAAAGAAAUAAUAGCACAUAGGAAACUGGCUUGACUCUGUCUAAGCCCUGUGGGAGGUGAAAGCUGGAGGUGAAUGGUUUCAUUGUCUCUUAAGUCUUCAGAGACCGCGGAUUGUGUCGAUAUAUAUGUUCUGAUUCGUUAGCAAGGCAGCCGUAAAGAACUAAAAGGACCUCAGAGGCUGUUGUAAGUAUUACAGCUUCUAUUCUCAGUCAUAUGGCAAGAUCCUGGAAGGCUAUGAGCAAAGGAGUGUCAUGACAUGUAGUGAAAGGAAUCUCCCUGGCUUUCAUGCUGGAAAAAUUGGGGGUGGGGGAGGGGAAGAGGAGGAGGGAGGGGAAGAAGCAGAGGUGGGGGCAGAGACCUGUUAGAAGGAGGCUUCUGCUGAAGUCCAGACGAGAGAGGAUGGUGUUUUGAACCAGGUGGAAGUAGACUGGUGUGAAGUGCUCUGAUCCUGUACAUAUUUUGAAUGUAGACUAACUGACCGUGAUUAAGGUAUGAAACAGGAAGGAAGGAAAGAACGGAGCUGAGGGUGCAGUUUUGGCUGAGCAAUUAGAACAGAGUUGACAGCAGAUUGAGCAGAAACAUUUUAGCAUUUUAAUAUCGACUAUAACAGCUAAUGGCUAAUCAUUUUAUAAUUCUUUAGGACGACAAAGGCAUUCAUAUGAUUACAUUAUUUUAUUGUCAGCGCAAUCUUGGGAUGGGCUUGGUGCUAUUAUUAUCCUUAUUUAUAGAAAGUAAAACUCUGGCUCAGGGAAAUUAAAUUUCUUGGCCUCAGAUCGCACAGUUAGUUGGUGAUGAGACUCGAAUUUUAUCCCAGUUCUGCUGGACCCAAAUCCAGGUCACGGUCUGUCUGUUUGCCUUUUAAUUUAAUAAGCACUAUUUAUCCAGUGCUUAUUUGGACUAAAGUACCUCUGCUUUCACACUGUUUUCUCAUACUCUAACCUACGGAACCAAAGCAGCUGACGGCUAACGCCAUUCUGGCCAGAAGCAGACACAGCGGGGACGGUGAGAGGAAAACUUAACUCCACGACCGUGCUUCUCUAAGACACUGGCACACUUAGCCAUGCCUACUUGCGAUCUGAAAGCGCAACUUCUUUUGCAAAUUGCUGAGAUACAGCAGGAGUGCAGUGAAAAGGAGGAGGCAAUGGGGUGUCACGAAGGUAACCCUUACCCCAAGACCAAAAGUUAGAAGACCUAGUUUAAGUUUUAGCAUUUUAGCCUAUUAGCUGUCUGAUUGUGUUCCUGUCAAAAGCUGUUAACAAUCUUAUUUAGGAUGGGGGGGAGGGUAUAGCUCAAGUGGUAGAGUGCAUGCUUAGCAUGCACAAGGUCCUGGGUUCAAUCCUCAGCACCUCCAUUAAGUAAAUAAAUAUAUGAACCUAAUUACCCCUCCCAAAUAAAAACUAAAACAAAUAAAAAUUUAAAAAAUAGAACUACAUUAAAAAUCUUCCUUAGGAUGGAUUUAUUAUUAUUAAAAUUAAUAAUAAUAAUUAACAACUCAUAAAUGGCAUUGAUGACAAACAUUAUUUUGCUUUAGGCACCAUUAAUCCUGCAGAAUCUUACUAACGAGACUUCUGUGACUGUCAGUCAACAGUGUUACUAAACAGAGCUGAGGACUCCUUAAGUCCAUUGCUCUUUGUAGAAAACUUGCCAUACUUAGAACUCUGAAACACUUGGACCAACCCUCUAUUUCUUCCAUUUGCAAGAAUUCUGGAUACAAUUCAUGAACCCUUGAUUUAUUGAAACCUCUAAAAUAAGAAUGUUAGGUAAAAACUUGCUAAGCUUUAUCCUUUCCCUCUUCUUCCUCUCUGCCCAUUCUUUGUCCAGAAAUGAUUUGUCACUUUGGUCAAGGGCAGACACAUGGCAAGGUGAACUUACAUUGCGUUGUUUGCCUGGUUCAGACAGGUGUAUAUUUCCCUGAAUGUCUCUCUUCAUGAUUUGCGUGUCCUUCCUCAGCAGCAGUGUCAGCAAAACCGACUUAAAAUAAAUUAAUCAAAGUGGUCCUGGCGGGGCAAGAAGGGGUAUAAUGGAAUAACCUUGAAAGAAGACCAUUUUCCCUUAGUGUAAAGACACCAUCCCAUGUAGGCUAGCCUAUCUGUUGGCAGAAAGGAUUUUUAGCAUGUUGUCCACAGAUGGAUGAUGCCAGCCAUGACUGCAAUCCCUUGGCCAGGGCUUCUGAGCCAGAAGUGUGUCAGACUCAUUUCUGGAGAAUGCUGAGGGAAACACUGCCACAUACCAUGUCUCACUCCUUUGCUGCUAGUGUUUUCCAAGUUAGCAACUGCAUAAGCAUAUGAUAUUCUCAGUUAAGAACAGUGAGAAAUCAUCUGGGACCAUCCUAAAUUAUUCUCUCUAGGAAAGAAGCUGGAAGGUAGAAAGAUUUUCAAGGCCGAUUCCAAUAUUCUAAAAUCAUUUGAAUCUGAGUGCCUUUCUGACCCUGGCCUGCCAGCUGCUCUGUUCUGCUUCUCCAGAAUCGCAUCCACAAAUGAUUUCGCCGUCGACUGUCAGCAUGGUAAGCAGGAGAGAGGCUGCAGCAAGAGGGCAAAUUCGAUGUGAAUGUCUCUACGGGCUUCUCUGUCACUGCAAGCUGAUGCAACUAUAUGAUGAGCAAGCAGAGGAUCCAGACCACAGAGAAUCAGCGUGCUGGGGCAGAAAGCCCCUGGAAUGGGAGCUAGGAAGUGAGCUCUAGUCUAAUGCACAAGGGCUUUUGUAUGGAUUAAAUGGCAUGAUGUAUGUUCCAAGCCCAGUGACAGUCAUAUAGCAGAUGCUCAAUCCUACCCUUUCUUGGUCCUCGUUCACAAACUAAUUGUGGCAUUGGGCAAAUCAGACACACCCUGCAACCACAUCUCUAGUGGAAAGAUUGCUGAUAAUGCAAAGAGUGUACAUUUAGACACCAUGUUGCCAAGCACUAUGCUGGGUGUUUAACAUAAAUAAUUUCAUUUCAUCCUCAUAACAACGCUCGUGUUAGGUAUUAUCGUCGUGGGACAAAUGAGACAUCCAAGGCUCUGAAAAUUUUAAUAAUUCGCCCCAGGUCAUGCAAAUUUUAAAUUGACAGAGUUGGAUUUGUGGACUCCAAUAUCGAGUCCAAAGAGAGAAGUGGAAAUAAUGCUUCUCAAAUUUUUCUUCAUGGAUUAAGAACAGGAACGUAUGAAAUGGUUUCAAAUCUUCUAUUUUAUCUUUAAAAGUCAUAUCUAGAAGUAGAUUUUAAAAAGUUUCUUUUGUAUAGCACAGGGAACUAUGUUCAAUGUCUUGUAAUAACCUUUAAUGGAAAAAAUUAUUAAAACAAAUAUAUGUAUGUAUAUGCAUGACUGGGACUUUGUGCUGUAUACCAGAGAUUGACACAUUGUAAUUGACUGUACUUUAAUUAAAACAAAAAGUCAUAUGGAUUUAUUUUCAUUCCAGUCA
Vicugna pacos (alpaca) is the source of this 6250-nucleotide non-coding RNA. Lineage: Eukaryota; Metazoa; Chordata; Mammalia; Artiodactyla; Camelidae. The record is from RefSeq and is a predicted model, not a curated record.